This 490-nucleotide ribosomal RNA is filed under the name uncultured bacterium. RNAcentral describes it as "partial 16S ribosomal RNA". It matches the Rfam family "Bacterial small subunit ribosomal RNA", at positions 30 to 507 of the family's 1533-position model. The record is from RNAcentral.
AUUGAACGCUGGCGGCAGGCCUAACACAUGCAAGUCGAACGGUAACAGGAAGAAGCUUGCUUCUUUGCUGACGAGUGGCGGACGGGUGAGUAAUGUCUGGGAAACUGCCUGAUGGAGGGGGAUAACUACUGGAAACGGUAGCUAAUACCGCAUAACGUCGCAAGACCAAAAAGGGGGACCUUCGGGCCUCUUGCCAUCGGAUGUGCCCAGAUGGGAUUAGCUAGUAGGUGGGGUAACGGCUCACCUAGGCGACGAUCCCUAGCUGGUCUGAGAGGAUGACCAGCCACACUGGAACUGAGACACGGUCCAGACUCCUACGGGAGGCAGCAGUGGGGAAUAUUGCGCAAAGGGCGCAAGCCUGAUGCAGCCAUGCCGCGUGUAUGAAGAAGGCCUUCGGGUUGUAAAGUACUUUCAGCGGGGAGGAAGGGAGUAAAGUUAAUACCUUUGCUCAUUGACGUUACCCGCAGAAGAAGCACCGGCUAACUCCGUG